CCUACGGGCGGCUGCAGUGGGGAAUAUUGGACAAUGGGGGCAACCCUGAUCCAGCCAUGCCGCGUGUGUGAAGAAGGCCCUCGGGUUGUAAAGCACUUUCAGUGAGGAAGAACGCCUGGUGGUUAAUACCCAUCAGGAAAGACAUCACUCACAGAAGAAGCACCGGCUAACUCCGUGCCAGCAGCCGCGGUAAUACGGAGGGUGCGAGCGUUAAUCGGAAUUACUGGGCGUAAAGCGCGCGUAGGUGGCUUGAUAAGCCGGUUGUGAAAGCCCCGGGCUCAACCUGGGAACGGCAUCCGGAACUGUCAAGCUAGAGUGCAGGAGAGGAAGGUAGAAUUCCCGGUGUAGCGGUGAAAUGCGUAGAGAUCGGGAGGAAUACCAGUGGCGAAGGCGGCCUUCUGGACUGACACUGACACUGAGGUGCGAAAGCGUGGGUAGCAAACAGGAUUAGAUACCCGAGUAGUC
This 465-nucleotide ribosomal RNA is filed under the name Vreelandella stevensii. RNAcentral describes it as "partial 16S ribosomal RNA". It matches the Rfam family "Bacterial small subunit ribosomal RNA", at positions 338 to 795 of the family's 1533-position model. Lineage: Bacteria; Pseudomonadati; Pseudomonadota; Gammaproteobacteria; Oceanospirillales; Halomonadaceae. The record is from RNAcentral.